CCCCUCUCAGGGUCGCACCUGGAGAGUUUCCAGUAGUCUACCAGUCUCGGCUACGGGAGAGAGAGUCAAGCAGAGGCCAGACCAGUCCAUUCCUAGCUUGGCCAGUGGCUAGCCAGUGGAAGGCAAUCUGCUACAAGU
Molecule: small nucleolar RNA, 138 nt
Filed under: Ornithorhynchus anatinus (platypus)
Lineage: Eukaryota; Metazoa; Chordata; Mammalia; Monotremata; Ornithorhynchidae
Source: RNAcentral